Long non-coding RNA from Corapipo altera (White-ruffed manakin), 205 nucleotides. RefSeq lists it as uncharacterized. NCBI's taxonomy places the organism in Eukaryota, Metazoa, Chordata, Aves, Passeriformes, Pipridae. The transcript has 2 exons. The record is from RefSeq and is a predicted model, not a curated record.
GCAACUGUGAGGGUACAGACGGGAUAGGGGAUCCACACAUGAAACCAAAGGGGACCCACCGGGCGGGACGUGGCUCAGGAGGAAAGUGAGAGACGUGCAGGGGAACGUGGAGCCCAAAGUUUUUCAAUCUGUGGGAACUAUUCAGCUGAGGAAGGAGACAGCAUAACUCACAAAUUACUCAGUAAGAACAUAACAUUUUCGAGGA